Molecule: long non-coding RNA, 3421 nt
Organism: Gasterosteus aculeatus aculeatus (three-spined stickleback)
Lineage: Eukaryota; Metazoa; Chordata; Actinopteri; Perciformes; Gasterosteidae
Source: Ensembl
CUUCUUUCCAGAGCUUCAGUUCUUUAGACUGGGAGGCACAUGUCAGACGUCUUUUGACAACAGCUUUGCACCUGUUUUUUGCUGUUGUGUCUAGCAGAUGGAUCUACCCACGGAUCUUUCGUCCAGGUUAUGGAUGCUUAUUAUUAUUAUUAUUUUUAUGUGGAUUUUGAUCAGCCUCGUCUUCAUCUUGAUCAACAAGUGCAUUUCAAAGGCAGGAAAACUCAGAAUCGCAGAGCUCCAGAGAAUGUCUGGCUUCUCCACCAAGAGCAAUCAAUACCAGGGGGGCGAGUAUGUUUCGGAGAUCCCACCUUUACCUCCUCGGACACAGUUUCUCCUCACAGAGGCCCAAAGUUAUGAGAACCUGGACGCCGCAGAUGAUCAGACUGAUCGGACUGAUCAGACUGAUCAGAUCGUCCACGAGCAGGACGUCCCAGACUACGAGCAGGACGUCCCAGACUACGAGCAGGUUGACCAGGACGUCCCAGACUGCGAGCAGGACGUCCCGGAGUACGAGCAGGACGUCUCAGACUACGAGCAGAUUGACCAGGACGUCGCAGACUACGAGCAGGACAAGCAGUCCGACUCUUUGAAGGCGGUGGGUGAGGACGAGCCUCUCCCUCUGAUUCCACGGUACCCAGAUCUAGAUCCAGCAGCAGACAGUUUCUCAGAGGACGACUACGACGACAUCGGGGGUGAAGAUGAAACCGAGGGGGAAGAGGACUACGACGAUGUGGCUUAGGACCACAAGAGAACGGGAGAGAGAUCAUUCAAGUAAAGACGCUGUCAACCCUCUGGAUCAGAACGAAGUCCCCCGGGCAGGUGGAAGGUUUUCAUGUGUUUCAUAAGUAGAAGGGGUGGUUGUCUGUAGUUAAUGUGUGGUUUUCAAGGACAAAGAAGAGGCAGAACACAUACGUGACUCAUUUUCCAGGCAAAGGAUGUGGUCAGUUUAAUCUACAGGAAUACUUCAUAUUCUAAUCAUCCAUGUUUGUAGCGUCUAAAAAGAACAACCUGCCUGUUUUCAGCUAAGAGGCUUUUUAAAAUAGUUGAUUCCAUUUAAGGGGAAGGAGGAUUUCCUUUAUCUCUUUAUUCAGUUUAUCAGAAACACUCUACAUCCGCAUCUGGACACGUGGUUUUCACUUGGCAGGAAGGGGAUGAAAAACAGUCAUCUGAAAAGAAACUAAAGCCGUCAGCGAAAUGUGGUAGAGAAAACAGUACAAUACAAUUAUGAGUAAGUACAUUAAAUAGGAAAACUUGAGUAAAAAACCUAUUGAUUGGUUUAGAAAGCAGACAAGGCUCAGAGGCAUUUCCUCCUUCUUCUUUUCUGCUGAAUCCCAAGUUUUAGAGACUCUGAUCCCGGUUUGGUUACGACUGCGUCAUCAGUCGAGCCGUCGAAGGCUUAAAAUAACUAUAAAAAAAAAAAAAUGUUUUUAUGCUGCCGUGUGGUUGACGCUGCAUUCUGAUUGUACAGCUGUUGAUUGUUGUUGCGCUUUAUGAGCUUUGACUCACCUGUCAAUGUAGCUGGGUUGCAUUUAAGUAAUUUAGCAUGUUAACAUAGUCCGUGCAUGUAGAAGUCAUGGAGUCGAACUCGCACUUGAGUAUUGUUAAAACAAUCUCUUACCCUGCUUGGAGUAAUGUCACGCUCAUCCUCCGUCUUAUACGUUCCAUCUCCACAGGGGUCGUGUCGGGCCCCUCGGGUGGCAGCAGGCCCUCAGCAGCCUCUCAGCCCGGUCGUCCUCUGUGGAUCCAAACAUUGGAUUCAAAAAGGGAAAGAAUUCUACCAAAAAACAUAGUUAUUUGAUCUCCGUUUAUGAAAAAGCGCCGUUAAGCCAGCAGUUUGGUGACCCACAUACAUAAUCUCUCACACUCUGACCACAUAAUAACAUCCUGCCAGUCAUCAGUCACUGCCUUACGUAGCCCUCGGGAAGUUUUAAUGAAUAUAAGUGGAUUUGAAUGCCUCGGUUUAGGAUUAAGUGAUCUGACGGCGCUCCAAAGAGACAAUGCAGGAAAAGAAAAAGCUGGGGGAAAAAAAAGAGGGGAAAUUUUUUUGGGGGAAAAAAAUCCAGCGAAAACAGGAAGGUCACUGAGGUUAAACAAUUUAAAAAUGUGAAGAAAAAGACAAGAUUCUUUCCUUUUUUCUUUUUUACAGUCUGUGCUGGCAUUGUCCACUGUGCAGCUGAUUGAUGGAAUACUUAACUAAUAAUAUAUUAUUUAGCACAUGAAAAUAUAUUAAAAUGUUUUUUUGAUGGAUUUAACACAUUAUAAUGUACUUGUCAGUGUAUAUUUAGUGUGUAUUAAUGUGCUGUGAUUGCCAACAAUCAUAACCACGUAAGACAGUUAUAUUUUCAUGUAGUUCAGGAAGAGUUUGGAUUGUUUACCACAUUAAUAGAAGGAUUUGUCUUAUAAUUAGGUUCAUAUAGUUAUUGGCUCUCUAACAGAAAACAUUUUCGUAGGAAAAUCUUUCGUUUUUCACAAGGACUUUAAUUUUGAAGAAUCUAAAACGGAAGUGUAGCUGUAGCUAAAGGUGUGGGUUUGAAACAGCAAGCCCACGCUUUCUUUUUUGAAAAUUCGUAUAAAUAUUAGAUUGUGUUGAUAGAUGAGAGGAGACAAUGCUGUUUGAAAAAGAGUUCAAAAGGAAUAUUGACUCCUAAAAAACUUUAUUUUAUGUUAAAAACGUGCAUCUUUAUCAACACUAUUACAGCAACAGAUAGAAAUAUAUAAACGUCCAAUUCGAUUCAAUUUUAAAAAUACCAUCAGAAAUUAUAUGCAAAAAAACAAUAAACAACCACAUACCACGGUGAAAACACAAAUGUACUUUCCGUUACAGUAUUAUCUGUUUUAUCAGAGGCUUAUAUUAUUUUGGGAUAUUUUUAUUGCCUGAUUUUGUUGGUCUCAAUGUUGUCCUGAAAUGUUUUAAUCCCAGUUUAACCACCAAAGGCACUUUGUUUAAAGUAUAACAUGCUGUAUGAAUUUGGUUGAUUAUUAAGAUGAUUGUUCCAAAAUUGUUUUGUGUUUUAUUCACACAAAGAUUUCACGUGUUGUGGAUAAAAUGUUCAAUGUAUUUUAGAAGUGCAGCAUAAUAUUUAGUUUACCUAAGCGUAGUGUGUAGCAACCUGACAUCCUGCCUGUACAGAUAAAACGUGAUUUGCUUUUUAAUAAUAGUUAUGGGAUGCACCAUGAUGUAAUAAAUAAAACGUAACGAUAGAGCUAUUUAUAAAACAAUGCAGUUCCGGUUUUAAAGCUGUAUUUGGUGGUACAAGUGAAAGUUGUUACGUUAAUUGUUGCUAUUGUUACAGUGACUUUCCCCUCUACUGUUUAACAGUUUAAUUUGGUGUGUUUCCUUCCUCCUUAAAUAUGAAUGAUACUAUCUGAACGGUUGUAUGAAUUGUUGGUGUCUUUUCUUAUUAGAAUAAAUUCUUUGCAC